This is a long non-coding RNA of Coregonus clupeaformis (lake whitefish), 1025 nucleotides long. RefSeq lists it as uncharacterized. The record is from RefSeq and is a predicted model, not a curated record. Lineage: Eukaryota; Metazoa; Chordata; Actinopteri; Salmoniformes; Salmonidae. The transcript is spliced from 6 exons.
CACAACGUGUCCUCAAUGACACUUUGCUGGAGCUUAAAGAGUUGAUGCAGACCGGCUUGAAGUGGGGAGACACAACGUGUCCUCAAUGACACUUUGCUGGAGCUUAAAGAGUUGAUGCAGACCGGCUUGAAGUGGGGAGACACAACGUGUCCUCAAUGACACUUUGCUGGAGCUUAAAGAGUUGAUGCAGACCGGCUUGAAGUGGGGAGACACAACACUGCAAGUGGAAGUUUGUUCUGUAACAUGUGAUGCCCCUGCAAAAGCCAUGGUAAAAUGCAUAAAGAUGUAUUCUGGCUACUAUGGCUGUGACGGGUGCACUCGUGUUGUGCUUACCAUCUUGCACAGCCUGUAGCAAGCCCCAUUUAGCUACAGCCAAGUUCACAAGCUGUAUUAGUUAUGCAAACUAUCUUGGCUGGUAAAUCAAGAGACUGAACAGUGUGGAAUUGGUGUUUUGUUUUUCUGCACAGGGCAUACAGCAUUAUUAUGUUGUAUAUUUUGUCAAAGAGAACAAUGUUGAAGUUGUACCAGAGCAGUGGGUGGAGAAGAGAGAUGGGGUCCUGUGUUGCUACUGGCCAAGAAAUGCCAUUAAGAGAGGAGACCGGCCUGACAAAAUAUUAUGGGAGUGGUACAGAAUUUCCAUCUUUUCAUCAACUGACAAUUACUCUGUGGCAGAGCAACGAGCCAAACGGGGGGUUGACACCUCCAAUGUUGAAUCUGACGAGGAACCAGCGAAGAGGGCGGUGACUAAACCAAUCAGAUUCCGUGUAGAGCCACCUGAUGAUGAUGGAAGUGAAGCACUCCAGAAAAAGACAAAUGAACCCAGACAAGCCCAGCGUACAGUGCCACAGCUUCCACCAGCCCCUAGUGUAACUUCAAGAGCCAGUGUCUUUGAAAAGACCCUACAACAAGUUGCAGAUGCAGAGGACUUGAGGCCAUGUGCCACCUCAAGCCAGAGCGACAGUAAGUGUCUGGUUGUAGUUUUAGGGUAAACAAUUAGUUUUAAGGUAAACAAUUGAAUUGUAUGA